AUAUAUGUUUGCAACUGUAUUAUUAAAAGUUACUUCAAAAUGCCAUUUUAAGUCUUAAAGUACCUUGUAUUUUAUUUAUUCUAAAUUUUAUAUUUCAGUUCACAGAGUCACUGGGAAAUUCGUUACGCAUGUGCAUCACUACAGAAUACCUGGAAAUGGUGGACAAGCAGGAGGAGGAGGAGGGGGAGGAAAAGGAGGACCUGGUGGUCCAAAAGGGCCAUCACCAGGUA
Non-coding RNA from Parasteatoda tepidariorum (common house spider), 230 nucleotides. NCBI's taxonomy places the organism in Eukaryota, Metazoa, Arthropoda, Arachnida, Araneae, Theridiidae. The record is from RefSeq and is a predicted model, not a curated record.